This is a long non-coding RNA of Mustela putorius furo (domestic ferret), 3586 nucleotides long. The record is from Ensembl. NCBI's taxonomy places the organism in Eukaryota, Metazoa, Chordata, Mammalia, Carnivora, Mustelidae.
AACCAAUUUACCGGCACAUCAUAAGACUCAUUCUAGAGUCUCCAUAGACCUCAUCUGUGUGGGGAAAGAAGAGCUGUAUUCACUGAGAAACAGGCAACGCCUGACAUAGAAGAUAAGUGUGCUUUUUGCUGAGAAGCUUCCGGCCCUGGCCCCCGAUGGCGCCUUUCCUCAUCUGGACACCUUGGGAAUGAAUUAUGAGGAAGCCAGCUCCUAGAAAUCGAGGAGAAGGAGUGAGCCUGCAGGAAUUGUCAGCAAACAGCUAUUUCUGCUCUUGGCGGGGAGGAGAGAGUGGUGUCCAGAGACUGGGCUUCUCCAUCCAGCCUGAAUGGACCAUCUCUUCUCUUCGGAGAGCUCAUCAAAGACCUUCCCUGAACAGCCCAACCAUGCAGAUUUGGACUCGGGUUGCCUGGAGUCCUUCAACUACAAGGCUGAGCGGUGGGCUCUUGCUCCAUUUUCCUCUACAGAUGAGAGGAUCCUGGGGCAUCUCAGACUCAAGAUUCAGGAUGGGCAGGAAUGAAGUAGCCCCAAGGCCCAUAGCAGCAGAUAUUUUUGGACCUUCUCUCCAGGACACUGUGGCUACCACGAUUUACAGCCAGCAACCACAGACUACAGGCCCUCCAGAAUGCAUUUGAAAAGUACAGGGGAGAGGAUCUGCUUGCCGUGGCCUGGUUGGAGCGAGAGAGAGAAGUCCCCAGCCGAUGACUCCGAGGGAGGGGCCCUGGACAUGUGCUGCAGCGAGAGGCUGCCGGGUGAGUCUGCCGGGCACCCAGGGUCCCCAGAGUUCCCCGUGCACAGAGAGAGCCCCAGAUGCCGCCAGCCGAAGUCGAGCCCGCUUAACUAUGAACUUGCUCCGGAGGGGUGACUUGGCUGCUCACAAGGUCUCCAUUUAAAUGAGGAUUUGUUUUUCUAAUCCCUGGUGUCUUUCAUCAUCUUUCAUGACCUGUUGUCAUUUGAUGCUGCUCUGGGCUCCCACGGAGGGAAGAGCCGGCAGCUGGGGGCAUGCUGGGAGGAUAGAGAGAGGGUUGAGGAGCUGGGGAGUCCAGCGAUGCUGGGGCCCUGGCCACGAACAAGCAGUGUGUUGGGCAGACUUUAAGAGGUAAGGCAGGGGGGAAAAAAAAAAAGGAAGGAAGGCGAGGGGACAUGGACAACCCAAAUGUGACAGGAACCAAGGGUGGGUGGGCGAUGAGGAGAAAGCGCCUGGCCUGUUGAGAACCCUGUGAGGGUCUGAGGGGACUGCGUGAGGCUGAUUGGUUGCGCUCAUGGGGAGCCUGGCUGGCCGUGAGUCACCACAGAGAUGUUACCGCUCUGCCUCUGCCCCUGGGGUGGCAGUGUGUCCUAGCUGUAGACCAGGUACCCUGCUAGUAUUCAUUCUCUUUUCAUAAAACUUUUUUUCUUAUCACAGAUAUUCACUGCAGAAUGAUAGAUAUAAGACAAAUGAAAAAAAUUGCCGUGAUCCCGUGACACAAUAUUCCUUUCCCUCUUUCCUUCCAAUCCUUUUGGUUCAGAAACAGCCCUGUGAAUGCGGCCUUUAAAGUCCCAAGGUUAGCUUGUCAGAAACCUCAUGACUGGCAAGGAAGCUUCGAGUGACGUUUUCAGGGACACUCUUUGAGACAGACAUUGAAAACAAGUAGGUGUGACUCUAAAGCGAUGACUCUUUAAAAUAAAUGGUUAUGUGGCUUGCACCAUGAGCCAGUGCUCCAGCUGCUGAUGAAGCUUUCUCCCGCCUCCAGGUAGGGAUGGAGCCCUUUGGUGCAGUUCACGCCAUAUCCAGUAGGGGGUACCAUUGCUCAAAAACGCUUUGGAAGGCCUAUCUAGCUGGUCUAGGAUGGGUGUCAUCUUUUAGGUCCCUGGUGGGGACGGGAAAGAGCUAGCUUCAAGAACAGAAUUCUCCAAAGGGAUGUGAGAGCUGUCUGUGAAUACAUGAAAGACUGUCCUGUGGAGAGGGCAGCAGAUUUGUUCUGUGUCUCUUAAGAGUCUGGCAUAAACCUGAUACAUAGAAAUUAAAAAGAGGACUGUUGGCGCGAGGGAUCCAGAACUUUCUUUCUUUUUUUUAAGAUUUUAUUUGUUUGUUUAUGUAUUUCCCUUUGGUUGGCUUGGACGCAACCACUUAUUUUGACAUAGAGAAAGGGAGCAUGAACGGGGUGUGGGAAGCAGACUCCCACUUAGCAGGGAGCCUGACAAACGCAGGGGCUCCACCCCAGGACCCUGGGAUCAUGCCCUGAGCCAAAGGCAGAUGCUUAACUGACUGAGCCACCCAGGAGCCCCCGAAAUUUUCUUUCUGAAUCUGAAAGUGGUCCAGUCAUGGUACUGGAUAAUUCAAAAGGAAAAAAAUGAGUGUUCCAUCACUGGAGGCAUUCAAAUAUUAUCUGGAUAGACAGUAGAGAGGAAAUUUCCACAAUGGGUAGGAGGUCGAAAUGACAUCAAAAGUCCCUUUCAACUAUUAAACGUUCCGUGAUUCAGAUAUGAGUCAUAGAAUUCAGAGAUGAUUCUAUGACCGGGGAUGGCCCAGUGGCUAGAAAAAACCCACGGGAAAUAGGACAUGAUGUAUAGGAGUGCGGGGAGUAGCACAGUGUGAAGGAAAGAGCACUGGCUUUGGCAUCGGAGUCUGGCUUAGAGGCACUGUGUUUAUGGACAGGUCGCUUACCCCUGCUGGGCCUCUAAUCCUUAUCUGUAAACUGAAACAGCAAUAUGAGUAUUUAUCCUUACAAGGAUUGGAUAUAAUUACACAGACAUUCAUUCCACAAACACUUUUUGAGUCCCUACUAUGUGUUCGGUAUUAUACUAGGUGCUAGGAAUCUAGUGGUAAAUAAAACAGAUGUCCUGCCCUGCUUUGAGCUGCUUCUGAAAAAAUGCAUGGAACCACAAGGAGAGAGACUACGGUAAUAAUAUAUGAAAUCUCAACCCUCCCUGAAAACCAGCAACCAGCUUAGAAUGGAAGAGGAAUAUUGGUUAUCUCCAGUGGGGCGCGGACACGUUGCCUUCGUUGUGCUUGGCACUGUUCUAAAUACUCACAUGUACCUCUCACAGACUCCUGUUGAGACGAUUUCUGGUCCCCAUCUUCUAAAUGAGAGGACUGAGGCCCAGGGAAGUGAGGGAGUCUGUCCAAGGUCACUUCACUGGUGUUUGGAUGAGUGAGGACUCCGUUCGUGCCCCCAUUGUCGCCGAGGAGCCACUAUCAGUUUCUGGCACUGUGUGAACAGAGGCAAGAGCUGUCUGCCCCAGGGAGGGGUCUGGAGGAGAUGGGCAAUGUCACCCUGCCUGUCUCCUUCUGUGUCCUUCCUCCGGAAAGCCCUGCUUGCCAGAGGUUAGGCAAGUUAGACACCCCACUGUACUCCCACGCAUGAUGCCAUCGCAGUGUGAUCUCGUAAUCACAUUUUGUCUGUUUCGUCUGCGGGACCGCGCCUUCUUUAAAGGCGAGUGCCUAUUUUGUCCUGCAUGUCCAGGGGAGUCUUUCACUCAUUUCUUUAUUCCCUGGAUGACUGUUCAUGGAGGGAAUCCCCUCACAGGACGCUCAUGCAAGCACUGAAGAUUCAGCAGUGAGCCGAACUGAGAAAAUGUCCACCUUCCCAGGGCAGUGUGGUGCACU